RNAcentral lists this long non-coding RNA (1835 nucleotides) under Nicotiana tabacum (common tobacco). RNAcentral describes it as "long non-coding RNA (NTAB_LNC006559)". Lineage: Eukaryota; Viridiplantae; Streptophyta; Magnoliopsida; Solanales; Solanaceae. The record is from RNAcentral.
UCAACUCUUCAUUUUCGUAUUCAUACUUCCUGUUUCAGUUUACAAUAAUCAGCGUGUCAGUUGUGUACCUGAUAUUGGAAGCAAAAGAAAAGGGAGAUCAGCAGAAAUUUAGUAGCAUACAACAACAGCAACCCCAACAACCAGUAACAACCAGCAACGAGAAACUUAGUGACAGAUUUUAAAAUCAAGACAAAAAUCCAGAAACACCAACAACAAUCAACGGACAUAAGCAAAGGGAAUUUUUUCAGAUUUUGAAAGACUAGUUAGUGUUUUAACCCUUAAUUUUUGAAUCCGUAUAUCAGAAUAUUUGGAUUGUAAUUAGGUGUAUACUAUUCUUCUUUUGAAUUUCCAGAAUGUUUUUCUUUUUAUUUUCUGAAGUCUUAGUAUUUUUCGGAAUUUCCUCUCUCUUAAAAUUUUCUUCUGUAUUAUGUCCGUCUAAAAACUCUCUCCCUAAAAUCUGAUUCAAGACCUCUUAUUUAUUUUCCAUCCCAAACCCUUUAAUCCAUUAAUAAAACCACACUUUCUCCUACCAAACCCAUUAUCUUCCCACUCAUCCCCCACUACAUUAAACAAAUAUAUCAAACCAACCCAUUACAUCUUGUCCCCCAUGCCUACCAUAAACAAUUACCAUAUUCCCCUCCACUACAUUUUGUCUUGUCCCCCAUUUAUAUUAAACAACUAUAUCACCCACACCCCAUUACAUUUUGUCCCUCAUGCUUAACAUAAAGAAUUAAUCAAAAAUGUUCAAUUACCAAACUACCCCUCCGACCUUAUUGCAAUUACCAUUUUACCCCUACGUACUGCGAUUCACCAAACUACCCCCAUCAGCUAUAACUAAUUCACCUAAUCAAUCUUAACCAAAAUAUAGCCAAUAUUAUCAAUUUCUAACAAUGUUCAACAACAAAAAUUCAAACUAAAUGAUGAACAACAAAGAAACAACUAAAAUUAUCUUGAUUGAACAACAUCUUUAACAACAAACAAACCUACUUUCAGAAUCAACAACAAAAACAACAACAAACAAAUAUAUUCAGAUUUCUAAAUUCAAUAAUCAUUUGAACUUAAAAUCUAACAACUUUACAACCAACAAUUCCUAUAUUAAAACUAAACAAAAUCAUGAAGCAAACUGAAGAAAUAAUCAAAAAUGAUAAUCAACAAUCAAGAAGAUCAAACUAUACUAAUUUCGGAUUCAAGAUCAAUCAAACAAAGUAUGAACAUAAAUGAAAAGAUUCAACAAACUCAAAUCACAACUUAAACUAUGAAACUCGAUUCAGACCAAGUAUCAUCAAAAUAAAUAUUGCGUGACUAAACUAACACACUUCUAUAUUAAGCCUAAACAAGAACAAAUGAACACUGCCAACAUACUGAAUGAAAACAAACUAACUUCAUAUGCAAGAAAAUGAUGAACAAUCGACAAGAAAGGAAACCAAACAUCACACAAAAUGAAAUCAUCCGAACCAACUCAAUAUUAGCAAAGAUACUAUACAUUUUACAACUAAUAAUCACGAAUGACAAACCAAUCAAACUCAAAUUCGAUUAAACAAAAAAUCUAAUUUUUACAACCCAGAUUCAACUAAGAAGAAAUUCGAAUUCCUUAAACCAUAACAUUUAAACAGAUUUUAGCGGCUCUUAUCUCACUCGCAUAUAGAUCCUAAAAAUGAGAAAGGGAGAUGAGACGGACCUUAAUAGCCUUUAACACUCCGCAGACCAAUAGAUCGAACAAACGACGGGCUACGACGACGAGGCGGGACUGGGGGUGAAUGAUGACUGUGACGGGGUAGCCAUGGCUUGGGUUGUCGUGGGCUGCUGGGCUGUCAUGGUGGACGUUCAGCCAUGAA